Molecule: unclassified non-coding RNA, 363 nt
Filed under: Hevea brasiliensis (rubber tree)
Lineage: Eukaryota; Viridiplantae; Streptophyta; Magnoliopsida; Malpighiales; Euphorbiaceae
Source: RNAcentral
CCAAAAUUAUUGGCAGCCAUAGUCAGGGGAAGUAUCAGUUCCUUGAAGAGAUCGAUGUUACUUGGUAUCCCUUGAAGCAUUGCAGCAUCAAUUGUCGCUUGAGUUUUUUCAACCACCUGGCAUUUUUCUUUGCAUGUUAUUGCUGCCCUCUCUACAAGAGUCAUAUCAGCCACAACAAGAUCUUUACUUAAUACAACACCUUGCUUUGUUGAAGAGUUCUUCCAGAAAUUAAUGGAAGCAGUGGAAAUCCAAGAUGGAGACCUCAUCCACUUCUGUAAGUAAACACUUCCAUCUAUGUCAAAUACAUGAUUACUGAUUUCCAAUAACUCAUCAGAAGGCUUUGCUCCUUGUGCUGCUUGAUAC